RNAcentral lists this ribosomal RNA (368 nucleotides) under uncultured bacterium. RNAcentral's name for it is "bacterial SSU rRNA". It matches the Rfam family "Bacterial small subunit ribosomal RNA", at positions 530 to 896 of the family's 1533-position model. The record is from RNAcentral.
GGUUGCGAGCGUUGUCCGGAUUUACUGGGCGUAAAGCGCGCGCAGGCGGUCCUGAAAGUCGAAUGUGAAAGCUCCUGGCUCAACUGGGAGAGGCCGUUCGAAACUUCGGGACUUGAAGGCGGGAGAGGCAGAUGGAAUUUCCGGUGUAGCGGUAAAAUGCGUAGAUACCGGAAGGAACACCAGUGGCGAAAGCGAUCUGCUGGCCCGCCCUUGACGCUCAGGCGCGAAAGCUAGGGGAGCGACCGGGAUUAGAUACCCCGUUAGUCCUAGCUGUAAACAAUGGGCACUAGGUGUUGUCGGUAUCGACCCCGGCAGUGCCGUAGCUAACGCAUUAAGUGCCCCGCCUGGGGAGUACGGCCGCAAGGCUA